GAUGAACGCUGGCGGCGUGCCUAAUACAUGCAAGUCGAGCGAACAGACGAGGAGCUUGCUCCUCUGACGUUAGCGGCGGACGGGUGAGUAACACGUGGAUAACCUACCUAUAAGACUGGGAUAACUUCGGGAAACCGGAGCUAAUACCGGAUAAUAUAUUGAACCGCAUGGUUCAAUAGUGAAAGACGGUUUUGCUGUCACUUAUAGAUGGAUCCGCGCCGCAUUAGCUAGUUGGUAAGGUAACGGCUUACCAAGGCAACGAUGCGUAGCCGACCUGAGAGGGUGAUCGGCCACACUGGAACUGAGACACGGUCCAGACUCCUACGGGAGGCAGCAGUAGGGAACCUUCCGCAAUGGGCGAAAGCCUGACGGAGCAACGCCGCGUGAGUGAUGAAGGUCUUCGGAUCGUAAAACUCUGUUAUUAGGGAAGAAUAAAUGUGUAAGUAACUAUGCACGUCUUGACGGUACCUAAUCAGAAAGCCACGGCUAACUACGUG
This 497-nucleotide ribosomal RNA is filed under the name uncultured bacterium. Its description in RNAcentral is "partial 16S ribosomal RNA". It matches the Rfam family "Bacterial small subunit ribosomal RNA", at positions 28 to 507 of the family's 1533-position model. The record is from RNAcentral.